RNAcentral lists this ribosomal RNA (371 nucleotides) under uncultured organism. RNAcentral's name for it is "partial 16S ribosomal RNA". It matches the Rfam family "Bacterial small subunit ribosomal RNA", at positions 527 to 896 of the family's 1533-position model. The record is from RNAcentral.
AUAGGUGGCAAGCGUUGUCCGGAAUUAUUGGGCGUAAAGCGCGCGCAGGCGGUUCUUUAAGUCUGAUGUGAAAGCCCACGGCUCAACCGUGGAGGGUCAUUGGAAACUGGAGAACUUGAGUACAGAAGAGGAAAGCGGAAUUCCACGUGUAGCGGUGAAAUGCGUAGAGAUGUGGAGGAACACCAGUGGCGAAGGCGGCUUUCUGGUCUGUAACUGACGCUGAGGCGCGAAAGCGUGGGGGAGCAAACAGGAUUAGAUACCCUGGUAGUCCACGCCGUAAACGAUGAGUGCUAAGUGUUAGGGGGUUUCCGCCCCUUAGUGCUGCAGCUAACGCAUUAAGCACUCCGCCUGGGAGUACGGCCGCAAGGCUG